GUUGCCUCCUCUGGCGAUUAAAGAUGAGAACCUGGUCAGGCGGGGAACCGAGCAGCCAUAAUUAUGUUUAUUUGUGCUUUGGAGUAGCGGCGUGGAG
This 97-nucleotide signal recognition particle RNA is filed under the name Candidatus Woesearchaeota archaeon. RNAcentral describes it as "signal recognition particle sRNA small type". It matches the Rfam family "Bacterial small signal recognition particle RNA". From Rfam's summary of the family: The signal recognition particle (SRP) is a universally conserved ribonucleoprotein involved in the co-translational targeting of proteins to membranes. Archaeal SRP consists of a 7S RNA and homologues of the eukaryotic SRP19 and SRP54 proteins. The record is from RNAcentral. Lineage: Archaea; Nanobdellati; Candidatus Woesearchaeota. RNAcentral also lists the same sequence under 1 other name.